RNAcentral lists this ribosomal RNA (257 nucleotides) under uncultured bacterium. Its description in RNAcentral is "partial 16S ribosomal RNA". The record is from RNAcentral.
CUGCUGCCUCCCGUAGGAGUUUGGGCCGUGUCUCAGUCCCAAUGUGGCCGGUCACCCUCUCAGGUCGGCUACUGAUCGUCGCCUUGGUGGGCCGUUACCCCGCCAACUAGCUAAUCAGACGCGGGCCCAUCCCAUACCACCGGAGUUUUUACCGCUGUGCCAUGCGGCACCGCGGUCUUAUGCGGUAUUAGCAGUCAUUUCUAACUGUUAUCCCCCGUAUGGGGCAGGUUGCCCACGCGUUACUCACCCGUCCGCCG